RNAcentral lists this ribosomal RNA (500 nucleotides) under uncultured bacterium. RNAcentral describes it as "partial 16S ribosomal RNA". It matches the Rfam family "Bacterial small subunit ribosomal RNA", at positions 30 to 523 of the family's 1533-position model. The record is from RNAcentral.
AUUGAACGCUGGCGGAAUGCUUUACACAUGCAAGUCGAACGGCAGCACGGACUUCGGUCUGGUGGCGAGUGGCGAACGGGUGAGUAAUGUAUCGGAACGUGCCCGGUCGUGGGGGAUAACGUAGUGAAAAUUACGCUAAUACCGCAUACGAUCUAUGGAUGAAAGCGGGGGAUCGCAAGACCUCGCGCGAAUGGAGCGGCCGAUAUCAGAUUAGGUAGUUGGUGGGGUAAAGGCCCACCAAGCCAACGAUCUGUAGCUGGUCUGAGAGGACGACCAGCCACACUGGAACUGAGAAACGGUCCAGACUCCUACGGGAGGCAGCAGUGGGGAAUUUUGGACAAUGGGCGAAAGCCUGAUCCAGCCAUUCCGCGUGCAGGAUGAAUGCCCUCGGGUUGUAAACUGCUUUUGUACAGAACGAAAAGGUUUCUACUAAUACUAGGAGCUCAUGACGGUACUGUAAGAAUAAGCACCGGCUAACUACGUGCCAGCCGCCGCCGUAA